UGGGGAAUAUUGCGCAAUGGGGGGAACCCUGACGCAGCAACGCCGCGUGAGCGAAGAAGGCCUUCGGGUCGUAAAGCUCUGUCAUAAGGGACGAAGUCUCUCUUUAUGAGAGGUGACGGUACCUUAAGAGGAAGCCCCGGCUAACUACGUGCCAGCAGCCGCGGUAACACGUAGGGGGCAAGCGUUGUCCGGAAUUAUUGGGCGUAAAGGGCGUGUAGGCGGUUAAUUAAGUCAGGUGUGAAAACCCGGGGCUCAACCCCGGGAUUGCACCUGAAACUGAUUAACUUGAGGGCAAGAGAGGAAAGCGGAAUUCCUAGUGUAGCGGUGAAAUGCGUAGAUAUUAGGAGGAACACCAGUGGCGAAGGCGGCUUUCUGGCUUGACCCUGACGCUGAGGCGCGAAAGCGUGGGGAGCAAACAGG
RNAcentral lists this ribosomal RNA (420 nucleotides) under uncultured bacterium. RNAcentral describes it as "bacterial SSU rRNA". It matches the Rfam family "Bacterial small subunit ribosomal RNA", at positions 355 to 776 of the family's 1533-position model. The record is from RNAcentral.